AUUGAACGCUGGCGGCAUGCCUUACACAUGCAAGUCGAACGGCAGCAUGAUCUAGCUUGCUAGAUUGAUGGCGAGUGGCGAACGGGUGAGUAAUACAUCGGAACGUGCCCUGUAGUGGGGGAUAACUAGUCGAAAGAUUAGCUAAUACCGCAUACGACCUGAGGGUGAAAGUGGGGGACCGCAAGGCCUCAUGCUAUAGGAGCGGCCGAUGUCUGAUUAGCUAGUUGGUGAGGUAAAGGCUCACCAAGGCGACGAUCAGUAGCUGGUCUGAGAGGACGAUCAGCCACACUGGGACUGAGACACGGCCCAGACUCCUACGGGAGGCAGCAGUGGGGAAUUUUGGACAAUGGGCGAAAGCCUGAUCCAGCAAUGCCGCGUGUGUGAAGAAGGCCUUCGGGUUGUAAAGCACUUUUGUCCGGAAAGAAAUGGCUCUGGUUAAUACCUGGGGUCGAUGACGGUACCGGAAGAAUGAGGACCGGCUAACUACGUG
This 490-nucleotide ribosomal RNA is filed under the name uncultured bacterium. Its description in RNAcentral is "partial 16S ribosomal RNA". It matches the Rfam family "Bacterial small subunit ribosomal RNA", at positions 30 to 507 of the family's 1533-position model. The record is from RNAcentral.